GUCGUAAAAGGGGACGCGGAGGAGAAGGAAAGUCGCUCAAGCAGUGGACAGAGCGGAGAAAGCGACUUCGGGUCUGCUGGAGUUUGCUGGAGGUGCACUCCAGACUCUGUUUGCCUGCCUAUCACCAACAGAGGCUGCAGAACAGCAAAGAUUGCUGUCUGUAACUUCCUCUGGAAGCUUCAUCCCAGAGGGGCACCUGCCAGAUGCCAGCCGGAGCUCUCCUCUAUGAGUGAAUGAAGGAGGGAAGAAAGGAGAGACAGAGAAAAUAUGGAUUUCCUCAUGGUUGUGAUUCCUCUUCACUCUUUUGAAUUUGGAAGGAUGGCAUACACAUCUGAAAAAUACCACUACUUCCUUCAUUGGACUGCAAGGUAUUUCUGUUUGGAAAAGUAAUGGAGUCCAGUCAACUUCAUUGAUCGCCAAGGACUGUCAAAAUUAUAAAACUUGCUGUGGAGCUCUGACAUGCCAGAAGCCGCUAGAAAAAGAAGUUUGACAUUCAGAAACUUAUCAAGAGGUUCUACUCUUUGGAUAGAGACCAAAAUCAUACUUUGAAUGAUAUGCAAUGCAAGACUCCCAAGAUUCUGGGCAGUGGCAGGGAGGUGCAGCUUCUAGUCUGCCGCAUGAUCACAAUGUCAGCUGGUCCCUCUUCUCAGGUGUAGAUCACCUAUUAUAAUUUUACCUAAUUUUGAUACUCUGAUAAGGAAAGUCCCAGGACUUAUCAGCUGGGAUAGGCCUCACUUACAAGACAGCUCUGUUCAGUAUUUGGAAGAAAGCCUGACAGGUUUCUUCGGAAAAGUGGCCAUCCAUGGAAUGAAUGAAAUGUUCUCUUUCUAUUCCACCUCUAGAGACCAUCAAAAAACAAUGGCUCAUAAUGCUUUUAGAACAGAAACUGAAGUUGUAUACUGUGCAUAUGUAAUCCUACACAAGAGGAAGGCAAUGUUUAAAGCUGCUGUCACCUCUUAGGGAAAAAACUGGAAUUCUGAGUCAAGGGAUUGCAGUGGCAAAGCUAGGCUAGGUCUUGGAGGCUGGUGUAAGGCGAUGUGGGUGAAGGCAGGAGGCUGAUGGAAAGACUGGGGGGAAGAAAAGCCGAAAUGGAUUCACGGUGCCUUGGAUGAAGGACGAGAGGGGAACUGCAAGCUCCUUCAACUGGUUCUGUCCGGUGAGAAGUGAUCAAGCUUGGGCUGACAAGAGGCUCAGGGAGCCCUCACGUUCUUUCGCUUUUUUACCUGCCAAUCAAACUGCUACAAGACAACACCCUGAUCUGGCAUGGACAUGUAAAAGCAAUAGUCUUGGAAAAGCGAAUCUACCAGCAGGGGGCGCACCAGCCACAUCCCUGAAACCAGCCGCGCUGAAAAGCCGGUGGCCGCCUUCUCUUCCCCAGAUCUUCUCAACCUUUUCUCUUUCCUAAUCUCCAGGUCCGUGUUUACCUUAAUAUUACACCUGGAUUAAACAGAAAACAGUGCUGUAUUUUGAAGAGCGCCGAAUAUGUAUGCAUUUUGAGAAACCCAAUCUCACCCUUUCCGGGUUCCCAAGAACUAAAACAAGCCAUAACUUGAGAGAAAAAGGAGAACCUUCGGGGGGCAGGAAGGUUGAUUGGAAAUAACUUAAGGAAAGUCUGCAGAAUUCUUUUUUUUACAACUUUUCUGAGUUUCCAGUGGGUAUAUUUAGUGUGAGUUUGACAGUAACAGGCUAGGGAGGGCAGAGAUUGGAGAAAUUGGGGGUCGGGGGAGUGAUUAUGGGAAGAAGGUUAGUAAGGAACAAAACAAUGCACCGUUUUGUAAAGAUAAUAAAUGGAACGUGGCUGGUAGAUACUAUUCAGUACAUUUUCUUAGGGUGAGUAAGGGUAGACCAGGGGAGGAGGGGGCGGAGAGAGUGUUACAGAAGAAAGAAAAUAAGUAACCC
This 1899-nucleotide long non-coding RNA is filed under the name Homo sapiens (human). RNAcentral describes it as "PREDICTED lncRNA (TCONS_00188967)". The stretch from base 996 to 1271 matches the Rfam family "SOX2 overlapping transcript exon 3". The record is from RNAcentral. Lineage: Eukaryota; Metazoa; Chordata; Mammalia; Primates; Hominidae.